RNAcentral lists this ribosomal RNA (405 nucleotides) under uncultured bacterium. RNAcentral describes it as "partial 16S ribosomal RNA". It matches the Rfam family "Bacterial small subunit ribosomal RNA", at positions 30 to 526 of the family's 1533-position model. The record is from RNAcentral.
AUUGAACGCUGGCGGCAGGAUUAAUACAUGCAAGUCGAACGAGUGGCGGACGGGAGAGUAAUGCUUGGGAAUCUAGCUUAAGGAGGGGGAUAACUACGGGAAACUGUAGCUAAUAACGCGAAACACAGGAUGUGCCGAAGUGGGUUUAGGUAGUUGGUGAGGUAAUGGCUUCCCAAGGCGAGGAUCUAUAGCUGGUCUGAGAGGACGACCAGCCACACUGGGACUGAGACACGGCCCAGACUCCUAAGGUAGGCAGCAGUGGGGAAUUUUGCGCAAUGGGGGAAACCUGACGGAGCAAUGCCGCGUGAAUGAAGAAGGCCUUCGGGUUGUAAAGUUCUUUCGGUAGCGAGGCGUUAUCUACAGAUGAAGCACCGGCUAACUACGUGCCAGCAGCCGCGGUAAUAC